ACGCGAAGUUUCCUUCGGGAAGCGAGUAGAGUGGCGCACGGGUGAGUAACACGUGGAUAACCUACCCUAUGAUCUGGGAUAACAUUUCGAAAGGGAUGCUAAUACCGGAUAAGCCCACGAUUUCUUUGGAAGUUGAGGGAAAAGAUUUAUUGUCAUAGGAUGGGUCCGCGGUCCAUUAGCUAGUUGGUGGGGUAAAGGCCUACCAAGGCGACGAUGGAUAGCUGGUCUGAGAGGAUGAUCAGCCACACUGGAACUGAGACACGGUCCAGACUCCUACGGGAGGCAGCAGUGGGGAAUUUUGCGCAAUGGGGGAAACCCUGACGCAGCAACGCCGCGUGAAGGAUGAAGGCCCUUGGGUCGUAAACUUCUGUCAGAGGGGAAGAAAUGCCCGAAAGGGAGCUGACGGUACCCUCAAAGGAAGCACCGGCUAACUCCGUGCCAGCAGCCGCGGUAAUACGGAGGGUGCAAGCGUUGUUCGGAAUUAUUGGGCGUAAAGAGCAUGUAGGCGGACUGUUAAGUCUGGUGUGAAAGCCCGGGGCUCAACCCCGGAAGUGCAUUGGAUACUGGCAGUCUUGAGUAUGGGAGAGGAAAGUGGAAUUCCGAGUGUAGGAGUGAAAUCCGUAGAUAUUCGGAGGAACACCAGUGGCGAAGCGGCUUUCUGGACCAAUACUGACGCUGA
Molecule: ribosomal RNA, 679 nt
Filed under: uncultured bacterium
Lineage: Bacteria
Description: bacterial SSU rRNA
Rfam family: Bacterial small subunit ribosomal RNA
Source: RNAcentral